ACUCCUACGGGAGGCAGCAGUGGGGAAUAUUGCACAAUGGGCGCAAGCCUGAUGCAGCCAUGCCGCGUGUGUGAAGAAGGCCUUCGGGUUGUAAAGCACUUUCAGUUGUGAGGAAAGGUUAGUCGCUAAUAUCGGCUAGCUGUGACGUUAGCAACAGAAGAAGCACCGGCUAACUCCGUGCCAGCAGCCGCGGUAAUACGGAGGGUGCGAGCGUUAAUCGGAAUUACUGGGCGUAAAGCGCGUGUAGGCGGCCAUUUAAGUCAAAUGUGAAAUCCCGAGCUUAACUUGGGAAUUGCAUUCGAUACUGGAUGGCUAGAGUAUGGGAGAGGAUGGUAGAAUUCCAGGUGUAGCGGUGAAAUGCGUAGAGAUCUGGAGGAAUACCGAUGGCGAAGGCAGCCAUCUGGCCUAAUACUGACGCUGAGGUACGAAAGCAUGGGGAGCAAACAGGAUUAGAUACCCUGGUAGGCUCUG
RNAcentral lists this ribosomal RNA (471 nucleotides) under uncultured bacterium. Its description in RNAcentral is "bacterial SSU rRNA". It matches the Rfam family "Bacterial small subunit ribosomal RNA", at positions 335 to 799 of the family's 1533-position model. The record is from RNAcentral.